GAGUUUGAUCGUGGCUCAGAACGAACGCUGGCGGCAGGCUUAACACAUGCAAGUCGAACGCGUGUAGCAAUACACGAGUGGCGCACGGGUGAGUAACACGUGGAUAUCUGCCUUUUGGUUCGGAAUAACCCUGGGAAACUAGGGCUAAUACCGGAUGGUUCCUACGGGAUAAAGAUUUAUCGCCAAAAGAUGAGUCCGCGUCCGAUUAGCUAGUUGGUGAGGUAAUGGCUCACCAAGGCGACGAUCGGUAGCUGGUCUGAGAGGACGAUCAGCCACACUGGGACUGAGACACGGCCCAGACUCCUACGGGAGGCAGCAGUGGGGAAUAUUGGACAAUGGGGGGCAACCCUGAUCCAGCCAUGCCGCGUGAGUGAUGAAGGCCUUCGGUUGU
RNAcentral lists this ribosomal RNA (391 nucleotides) under uncultured Alphaproteobacteria bacterium. RNAcentral describes it as "bacterial SSU rRNA". It matches the Rfam family "Bacterial small subunit ribosomal RNA", at positions 9 to 426 of the family's 1533-position model. The record is from RNAcentral. Lineage: Bacteria; Pseudomonadati; Pseudomonadota; Alphaproteobacteria.